This 583-nucleotide ribosomal RNA is filed under the name uncultured Chroococcidiopsis sp. Its description in RNAcentral is "bacterial SSU rRNA". It matches the Rfam family "Bacterial small subunit ribosomal RNA", at positions 227 to 822 of the family's 1533-position model. Lineage: Bacteria; Bacillati; Cyanobacteriota; Cyanophyceae; Chroococcidiopsidales; Chroococcidiopsidaceae. The record is from RNAcentral.
AGCUUCGCGUCCGAUUAGCUUAGUUGGUGGGGUAAAAGCCUACCCAAGGCAGCGAUCGGUAGCUGUUNUGAGAGGACGAGCAGCCACACUGGGACUGAGACACGGCCCAGACUCCUACGGGAGGCAGCAGUGGGGAAUUUUCCGCAAUGGGCGCAAGCCUGACGGAGCAAUACCGCGUGAGGGAGGAAGGCUUUUGGGUUGUAAACCUCUUUUCUCAGGGAAGAACACAAUGACGGUACUUGAGGAAUCAGCAUCGGCUAACUCCGUGCCAGCAGCCGCGGUAAUACGGAGGAUGCAAGCGUUAUCCGGAAUUAUUGGGCGUAAAGCGUCCGCAGGUGGUGUUUCAAGUCUGCUGUCAAAGACCGAAGCUUAACUUCGGGUAGGCGGUGGAAACUGACUCACUAGAGUACGGUAGGGGUAGAGGGAAUUUCCAGUGUAGCGGUGAAAUGCGUAGAGAUUGGAAAGAACACCAGUGGCGAAGGCGCUCUACUGGACCGUAACUGACACUCAGGGACGAAAGCUAGGGUAGCGAAGGGGAUUAGAUACCCCUGUAGUCCUAGCCGUAAACGAUGGAUACUAGGAU